UGGUAUGUGUGCUGUACACAGUUAGUGCUC
Molecule: non-coding RNA, 30 nt
Filed under: Mus musculus (house mouse)
Lineage: Eukaryota; Metazoa; Chordata; Mammalia; Rodentia; Muridae
Source: RNAcentral